RNAcentral lists this ribosomal RNA (377 nucleotides) under uncultured eukaryote. RNAcentral's name for it is "partial 18S ribosomal RNA". It matches the Rfam family "Eukaryotic small subunit ribosomal RNA", at positions 592 to 976 of the family's 1831-position model. The record is from RNAcentral.
CAAUAGCGUAUAUUUAAGUUGCUGCAGUUAAAAAGCUCGUAGUUGGAUUUCGGGUGGGAAUGGCCGGUCCGCCGUUUCGGUGUGCACUUGCUACGCCCACCUUGCUGCCGGGGACGUGGUCUUGAGUUCACGCUCGGGACACGGAGUCGGCGAGGUUACUUUGAGUAAAUUAGAGUGUUCAAAGCAGGCCUACGCUCUGAAUACAUUAGCAUGGAAUAACACGAUAGGACUCUGGCCUAUCUUGUUGGUCUGUAGGACCGGAGUAAUGAUUAAGAGGGACAGUCGGGGGCAUUCGUAUUUCAUUGUCAGAGGUGAAAUUCUUGGAUUUAUGAAAGACGAACUACUGCGAAAGCAUUUGCCAAGGAUGUUUUCAUUAA